GAUGAACGCUAGCGGCAGGCUUAACACAUGCAAGUCGAGGGGCAGCAUGAGGGUUAGCAAUAACCCUUGAUGGCGACCGGCGCAAGGGUGCGUAACGCGUGAGCAACUUGCCCGUUUCAGGGGGAUAACCGGUGGAAACGCCGACUAAUACCCCAUGGUGAUGGUUUGAGGCAUCUCUUUCCAUCUAAAGAAUUUCGGAAACGGAUAGGCUCGCGUGACAUUAGCUAGAUGGCGGGGUAACGGCCCACCAUGGCGACGAUGUCUAGGGGUUCUGAGAGGAAGGUCCCCCCACACUGGAACUGAGACACGGUCCAGACUCCUACGGGAGGCAGCAGUGAGGAAUAUUGGUCAAUGGGCGGAAGCCUGAACCAGCCAAGUAGCGUGAAGGAUUACAGCCCUACGGGUUUAAACUUCUUUUAUGCGAGAGUAAUGUGCGCUACGUGUAGCGUAUUGCAAGUAUCGCAUGAAUAAGCAUCGGCUAACUCCGUGCCAGCA
RNAcentral lists this ribosomal RNA (495 nucleotides) under uncultured bacterium. RNAcentral describes it as "bacterial SSU rRNA". It matches the Rfam family "Bacterial small subunit ribosomal RNA", at positions 28 to 513 of the family's 1533-position model. The record is from RNAcentral.